RNAcentral lists this ribosomal RNA (497 nucleotides) under uncultured bacterium. RNAcentral describes it as "partial 16S ribosomal RNA". It matches the Rfam family "Bacterial small subunit ribosomal RNA", at positions 28 to 507 of the family's 1533-position model. The record is from RNAcentral.
GAUGAACGCUGGCGGCGUGCCUAAUACAUGCAAGUCGAGCGAACAGACGAGGAGCUUGCUCCUCUGACGUUAGCGGCGGACGGGUGAGUAACACGUGGAUAACCUACCUAUAAGACUGGGAUAACUUCGGGAAACCGGAGCUAAUACCGGAUAAUAUAUUGAACCGCAUGGUUCAAUAGUGAAAGACGGUUUUGCUGUCACUUAUAGAUGGAUCCGCGCCGCAUUAGCUAGUUGGUAAGGUAACGGCUUACCAAGGCAACGAUGCGUAGCCGACCUGAGAGGGUGAUAGGCCACACUGGAACUGAGACACGGUCCAGACUCCUACGGGAGGCAGCAGUAGGGAAUCUUCCGCAAUGGGCGAAAGCCUGACGGAGCAACGACGCGUGAGUGAUGAAGGUCUUCGGAUCGUAAAACUCUGUUAUUAGGGAAGAACAAAUGUGUAAGUAACUAUGCACGUCUUGACGGUACCUAAUCAGAAAGCCACGGCUAACUACGUG